GGCUUUAUAGUAUAAAUAUAAAAUACAUUAGAUUGCAAAUCUGAAGAUGUGGUUAACACUGGGGCUU
This 67-nucleotide transfer RNA is filed under the name Nanhaipotamon longhaiense. RNAcentral's name for it is "tRNA-Cys". It matches the Rfam family "tRNA". Rfam says of the family: Transfer RNA (tRNA) molecules are approximately 80 nucleotides in length. Their secondary structure includes four short double-helical elements and three loops (D, anti-codon, and T loops). Lineage: Eukaryota; Metazoa; Arthropoda; Malacostraca; Decapoda; Potamidae. The record is from RNAcentral.